This 301-nucleotide ribosomal RNA is filed under the name uncultured bacterium. Its description in RNAcentral is "partial 16S ribosomal RNA". It matches the Rfam family "Bacterial small subunit ribosomal RNA", at positions 509 to 807 of the family's 1533-position model. The record is from RNAcentral.
CAGCCGCCGCGGGAAUACGAAGGGUGCAAGCGUUAAUCGGAAUUACUGGGCGUAAAGCGUGCGCAGGCGGUUGUGUAAGACAGGUGUGAAAUCCCCGGGCUUAACCUGGGAACUGCGCUUGUGACUGCACAGCUAGAGUAUGGCAGAGGGGGGUGGAAUUCCACGUGUAGCAGUGAAAUGCGUAGAGAUGUGGAGGAACACCGAUGGCGAAGGCAGCCCCCUGGGCCAAUACUGACGCUCAUGCACGAAAGCGUUGGGAGCAAACAGGAUUAGAUACCCCAGUAGUCCCUGUCUCUUAUAC